This 3722-nucleotide long non-coding RNA is filed under the name Homo sapiens (human). RNAcentral's name for it is "HSALNT0284230". Lineage: Eukaryota; Metazoa; Chordata; Mammalia; Primates; Hominidae. The record is from RNAcentral.
CGAUUCCCCUGCCUCAGCCUCUCGAGUUGCUGGAACUACAGGCACGUGCCACCACGCUGAGCUAAUUUUUAUACUUUUAGUAGAGACGGAGUUUCACCAUGUUGGCCAGGAUGGUCUCAAUCUCUUGACCUCGUGAUCCACCUGCCUCGGCCUCCCAAAGUGCUGGGAUUACAGGCAUUAGCCAUGGCGCACAGCCUGGAACACUGUGCAACUGUGAAAAAAAUUAAUCUAUAGAGAGGAUAAUCACACAAGGUUAUACAAGUGGUUCAUAGAAGUGGAAAUUAUGGAACUGUGGAUGUGACAGAGCCAUUGCUGAAAAAUAUGUUUGUUGGCAGGCUCAUAAGCAGAAGGGACUCACCUUAUCUCAGAUAAGACGCUGGACUUGGACUUUUGUUAAUGCUGGAAUGAGUUAAGCCUUUGGGUUACUGUUGAGAAGGGAUAAUUGUAUUUUAAAAUGUGAGAAGGACAUGAGAUUUGGGAGGGGUCGGGGCAAAAUGAUAUUGUUUGUUUCUGUGUCCCCAACCAAAUCUCAUGUUGAAUUGUAAUCCCCAUGUGUCAGGGCUGGGACCUGGAGGGAGGAGAUCAGAUCAUGGGAGCAGAUUCCCCCAUGCUGCUCUUGUGAUAGUGAGUGAGUUUUCACAAGUUCUGAUGAUUUAAAAAUGUGGCACUUCCCCCGCUCUCUUCUGCUGCCUUGUGAAGAAGGUGCUUGCUUCUCCUUCACCUUCUGUCAUGAUUGUAAGUUUCCUGAGGCCACCCUAGCCAAGCAGAAAUGUGAGUCAAUUAAAUAUAUUUUCGUUAUAAAUUACCCAUUCUCAGAUAGUUCUUUAUAGCAGUGUGAAAACAGACUAAUGCAAUCAUUAUCAAGUAUUCUGUACUGUAUGUAAUUGAAUGUGACAUCACUUUUGUACAACUGGCAAUACAAUAAGCUUGAUUUCACUAACAUCACCACAAAAAUGUGAGUUUUUCAUUGUAUUGUGAUGUUACAAUGUCUACGAUGUCACUAGGCUAUAAGGACAUUUUAGGUCCAUUGAAAUCUUAUGGGGCCACCAUCGUAUAUGUGUUCAAUCACUAAUUGAACGUUUUUAUAUGGCAUAUGACUGUAUAGGUCAAACAUUAUCAAAUUGUAUACCUUAAAUAUGUGUAGUUUAUUGUAUUUCAAUUUUAUCUCAAUAAAACCACUUUAAAAUAUCCAUACUGUAAGGACUCAUCACCCCAUAACAAAACAAUGUUUCAAGAAUUAUGUAGAACAGUUUAUUUUUAAAAACCCACCAUCAUACAGAAAAAAAGAAAUCCAUACAGUAUAAAAAGAGUCUUCUCUCUUGAUCAUACUUAUGGCCAAGUUAUCAUCAGUUGUUUUUAUGGGGUACAUUUUUGUCUAAGUGUGCCACAUAUUAUGCUUACACAAAGAUAUCUGGUUUGUGGGACAACUCAUCUGUCCAUUUAUAGUUCUUAAUAAUCAUCUGCACUGUAACAAAAAGUAAUCCUAGUAAUGCUUAGUACAUUUCUCUUAAUAGUGAACAAAUGUCAACAAAAUUUACAUUCAAGGUAAUAUUGCUCCUUUGUCCUAUGGAAUAUGUACUGAGAAAAAAUAUGGAUUUCCAGCUAUCACCCUAUAUAAAUGAAAAGUUGUAGGCUCAUAAGUUAUUCAAAUUUCAAUUAUUCCCCCAUAAAAUAAAUGACUAGUCAUAAACAAAUUCAAAUAUUUAGCUCAAAUUUUUUGAUUACAUUAAUUUAUAUAAUAAAACACACCAAUUAAAAAUGAUUUUGGACAACAAAACUCGAGAUAGUCUUAAGCUAAAUAACAGAUUACAUUACUUUAUAUACAGCAUCUUCUUAUUUUUGUGAAUUUAUAUAUGUCAAAAUGAUGCACAGAUUAUUAUUCUGUAUCUAAUUAUGUAGUCUAAAUAUUUUAAAAUUUGGCUAAAAUACAGGAAAAAGUGACCAGUUUCUCAUAAAUGUGUUUAAUGUGUACUUCCUAAUAGCCUUGGUUUCUUAUAUUAUCAAAGCUCUUAUACAUCGACAAGUAGAUAAAUGUAGAACCCAGUAUACACUUAUAACAUGACUGCAGAGGGCCUAGAAAGUUGUCUCCUAUACUAAAAAUCAUGAAACAUAAUAAUAACAGCAACAGCAGUGGCAAAAACAUAUUGCUAUCUCCACAUCACCAACCUUCUAUCCACUAUGAAUUGUUCAUGUAACUUGAUUCUAUAGCAUUUACUUCUAUCAACAAGUAAUUAACAAAGAGGAAAAUUUUUCUCAUUUUAAAAUAAAAAUAAUUUUCAGAAGAGUUACAUGUCAUUAAAACAAUUGUAUAAUAUAGUUUAUCCAAUUACACUUAUUGAAACAUUUAGUGGGUACUCACUCUAUGCAUGCCACUAUGCUGGGGCCAGAGAUACGAGGAUAAAUAUGUUGCAUUUUUUGCCCUUAAAGUUAUUAUGAUCUUCUAUAGGAAAUAGAGAAAAAUUGAUCAAUUAUUAUAUACAGCAGCAGUCUCCAACCUUUUUGUCAUCAGGGACCAGUUUGUAGAAGAUAAUUUUUCCAUGGACCAAGGCAUAGAUGGUUUGGGGAUAAAACAGUGCCACCUCAGAUCAUCAGGCAUUAGAUUCUCAUAAGGAGUGUGCAACCUAGAUCCCGCACAUCUGUGGUUCACAAUAGUGUUGUUAGAGCUCCUAUGAGAAUCUAAUGCAGCUACUGAUCUGACAGGAGGCGGAGCUUAGGCGGUAAUGCUGUCUAACCCACUGCUCACCUCCCACUGUGUGGCCCAGUCACCAACUGGUACCAGGGGUUUAGGGACCCCUGAUAUAUGGCGUUUGCAAGUAGUAUAAAAAUACACAUGAUAGCCCUUUACCCAAGAUAGUGUGCUAGUGUGUGUGUGUGUGUGAGUGUGUGUGUGUAUGUGUGUGUGUGUGAGAGAGAGGAUAGAAUUAGAAAUGAGAACAGGUUCAGGGGAGGCCUCUUCAAGAAUAAGUGAGAUUGCUCUUGAAAUAAAUUUUGAAGGAUAACUAAGAGUUGAUGAAGCAAAGGAAGGUAGGCCAGUAUUCACAUGCUAGGAAACAACCCAUUUAGAGGCUCAAGGAAAGCUUGCACAUUCAGGAGCCUGCAAAUUGUUGACUAUGACUAGAAUGUAGAGUGUAAAGAAGAAAGUGGCAGUAGAGAGAAAUAAAGGUGAGAUGCAGAGAAUUAAAAUCAUCAUGACCUUGUAUUGUGUGUUAAAAAGUUAAGACAUCAUCCUGAUCAUAUUUUUUCCCUCUAAUAAUUUUAGCUAAGAGUAGUCAUUACGAAAAAGAAGACUUUUAUGACUUUUAUGGGGAGAAUGAGGACAGCACUAACAUUUAUUGAAGACCUGUUUUGUCUGAUGGUUAGGAAGAGUCUGACUCCAUGUUUUAUAUUUGACUGCACAGCAUUUAGGCUCCUACCCUGCCCUGCCCAAACACUAUAUAUCUGGUACUAUAGACAAAUAAACCUGCAUGCCUUUUGAGAUUUUGGGUCCUGUGGAAAUUUGAACUUCACAGCCCCAGACUGAAUGUGAGAACUCCUCUCCAGCCCCACUCUCUCGCCAUUACAAAAGUCAAACCAACUCUCUGCUCAUUGUUCUUGCCGUUCUAGCCAGAUCAGCUUGCAGUUACCUUGCUCUAUGUACAAUUUCCUGAUGUGAAUAAUAAACUCCUUGCAAAUUAUCAAGGUGUGUGAAGUGUCGUCAGUCUGGAUAUGUGGCCUAUUAACUG